RNAcentral lists this ribosomal RNA (435 nucleotides) under uncultured bacterium. RNAcentral's name for it is "partial 16S ribosomal RNA". It matches the Rfam family "Bacterial small subunit ribosomal RNA", at positions 28 to 507 of the family's 1533-position model. The record is from RNAcentral.
GAUGAACGCUGGCGGUAUGCUUAACACAUGCAAGUCGAACGGACUCUUCGGAGUUAGUGGCGGACGGGUGAGUAACGCGUGAGAAUCUGGCUUUGGGUUCGGGACAACCACUGGAAACGGUGGCUAAUACCGGAUGUGCCGAGAGGUAAAAGAGAAAUUGCCUGAAGAUGAGCUCGCGUCUGAUUAGCUAGUUGGUGAGGUAAAGGCUCACCAAGGCAGCGAUCAGUAGCUGGUCUGAGAGGAUGACCAGCCACACUGGGACUGAGACACGGCCCAGACUCCUACGGGAGGCAGCAGUGGGGAAUUGUCCGCAAGGGGCGAAAGCCUGACGGAGCAAUACCGCGUGAGGGAAGAAGGCUCUUGGGUUGUAAACCUAUUUUCUUAGGGAAGAACAAAAUGACGGUACCUAAGGAAUCAGCAUCGGCUAACUCCGUG